GGCGCACACACCCUCGGAUUGACGUGCGCACGCGCACCGGUUACCUUCAGGAGCGCCGAAGAAGGAAAGAAGACUGCCAGCUCCGUGACAGCAAGAACCUUGUAUGACUUUUUCAUGAUGGAUGUUCAUCUGUGCCAUCUGUAAAUAUUGAAUAAAUAUUUGUGGAAUACAUGAAUCUAAAAGUGAAUGGAAUGAUAAAGAGGGAAAGGGUCAUGACAUCUACUACAGCAUUUGGCACAGACCCAGCUGUCUGCAGUACUAUCAAGAGAUGACAUGGACUUCAAGGAUCAAACAGGGGAGAAAAAGGCUUAAAAGAAAAACAAGUCUCCAUCAAAGUCCUCCUGACAUCUUAAUCUAUCUGCCAACGCUACAUGCCGUCAAGCCAAGGAAGAAUUUCCUUCUCACUGUUGCUUCUCUGACCAAGGAAGACAUAAGCACAACCAAUCACCAGACUGAUGAAAUUCCUUCCAGUUUCAGAAAAGAUUAUCACCAAUCCCUACAUUAUAAAAUUCAUACUAAUAAAGCACAAACAUUGAAUUCUAACAUUA
RNAcentral lists this long non-coding RNA (548 nucleotides) under Homo sapiens (human). RNAcentral describes it as "HSALNT0307098". The record is from RNAcentral. Lineage: Eukaryota; Metazoa; Chordata; Mammalia; Primates; Hominidae.